UCAAUGUUUGCUCUUAACUUCCUGAUUGUAUGUUCUUGAUGUACUGGCCUCAGGGCACACCACAAAGAAGGAAAGAGAUCGCCAGGGGUCUUAAUGACUAUAAGGAUAGAUGGAACAGAGCUGGCCAACAGGAACUGUACAUCCCCCGUGGGGUCUCAUUGAGGCUCUGAGCAGCAGGGUAGCAAUGGGGACAUUGGCCCUGACAUCCAUAGGAAGAGAGGGAAAUGGGGUCUCCCAGGGAGCCUUUGUCACUGCCAGUCCAAACCCCUUUCUAAGCACCAGAAGCAGCAAGAGGAAGAGAGGUGGACACAAAGGUCCUUCUAGGGGUCACAGAAUACCUUGUUGACCUUCUCCUUGCCAUAGCCUGCUCAAUGAGUGUGUCGGGGUGCCAUUACAAAAAGGUCAAAAUCUACCGCACCUACACCAACAGCCUUCAGCAGUGUCACAGAGAUAGAUGGUGACGUCCCGGAGAGCCUCAGGGUCUCUCAUGAUUCUCAGGUAGUAGUUGUGAGAGCUCACUGAUGCCAGAGCCAUAGGAGGGCGGGAAAGAUCUGGCUUAUCCUCCAGGACUUGGCCGGAAAGUGGUACUUAGGAUGGUACCCAGGCAGGUAAAGCGAGAUCGGAGUUCCUGCUGGCACCUCGGAGGGCAUGAGUGGUGGUGACUGGGAGGAGAUCAGCUAUGUGACGAGCCCAGUGGGUCCUGGGAGGCCCCCGCAAGGGCACAGUGACUUUGUGUUCUCUGCAAACAUUCUGUACACAUAGACAUCACAAUAAGUGUUGCCUGCCAUUCCUGUGGGGAGAGCAGUGGGAGAGACAACACAAAGAGCAGAGCUCUGAGGAAGGGGCGGGAGGGGCGGAAGGGGCGGAGCCACAGUGCUUCACAGGACGAAGUCUCAGAUCUGUCUGGAAAGGUGAAAUGUGUGAGAAAGCCAGUCCAGGAAAAUUCUCACAAGCAUAUGAGAAAUCAUGAGCUAGAGAGUGGCUGGGAUCGGGACAAGAUAAAUUUAUACCCAGCUUCCCACAUUCCAGUGACAAAUUUGCUCUCUGGGCGUUGUUGCCUCUGACCUCCUGGUUACCGAGGGGAUGACAUUAAAGUGGAGAAAACGGCGUAUUCUGUUCUAUAAAUUCAGACAGAGAUGACGCACGCUGCCCACCAAGUAUACCUAAGAAAUCGUGGGGAAAUGUCAAGCAUUUUAAGAGAGAGCCGCUGUAAAUUCCGAAGCUUGCGACUUGAGCGAUCUCUGCAGAGGAGAAAGGUCCCUUUGUUCACGCUCAGCUGACACUCAGCAUGUGGAAUAGUAUGAGCUAGAGGGGUCACACGAAAGCUGCAGGGAAAGAAAGAAAGCGGGGAUGUGACAACCCAGGAGCUAGAGGGAUGGAGCAAGCAUUUCUGGGAUGGAGGAGGCCUGGUUUCUGGAGAUCCCAAAGGCAGGUUCCUUUCCUAGUCCUUCCUUCCCAGUGGUACGGUUUCCUACAAUGUUUCUCGGCGCGUAUGUACUGGUUCAGAACCAGGAAAAACAGUGUCACAUGCGGAGCCACGGAGGAAAAGACGUUGAUGCCCAGAGUGAGGACACUGCUCCUCCAAACCACACUGCUGAGAAAUCCUACUGAAUAGUCACCAUGGGACAUGUGACCUUGUCUUAGCAUCGCCUCAGUGGGAAGACUUGGUAGUUCAGGAAACAAGGGCAGCAUACACAAUGUGAAGUCCUCCUGUUGUGGGUCCAGAUUUCAAGGCCACACCGAAGCCAGGCAAUACCAUAUGGCUUCCAGGACUGUAAAGGCAUCUGGAACCCAGAGUCCAAACAAGACAUGGAUCAUCCCUGAGACUUACAUCCAUUGACUUGGAAAAUAUGUGGUCACUACUUGCGAGAUGAUUUCAAUGGGCUGAUAUCUUACCUGUCUGUUUACCUCAUACUGGUGGAUCGUAAGCUCAAAGGCUCACCUGUGUGGGCCUGCCCAGUGCUGGAACUAUGGGCACACGCUUCCACACUUGACAUUUCAACUGGGGUUCAAGGUAUCAAACUUAUUAUAACCUGUGCCACGUGCUUUCAUGGGUAAGUACUUCACCCGCUGAGCUGGCUAUCCUCCAAGUCCCCUGCACUUUUACUGUCUUAAAAUAUCACAAGCAGAACUCAUGCAAUGGUGUGUCAAGCUGUAGGUGAGGUGUCUUUUCUAGCAGGGCUCUAGUGGUGGGAAAAGACGGGUAUGUCCUGUGUGGUUUGGUGGAGGUCCCCAUUGUCACAGCCUUUGAAGAAUACCUGACCACGUGACCAUUGUGAGACCAAAUAGCUCAUAUACAAUUAAAGUCAAUUAAACAUGAUUGAUCUGUGCAGCUAGGAAGUAACUAAGCACCAAGAACGACUUGACUCGGGCUUAAAUUUAGAUCUUGCGAGUGGAAGUGGGCCAAUGGGAAGGCUGCUGCAGAAACGGAGGAGGUGGAACAAAGCCGCCCCAGGACUCUGCGGCAUCCAUAGCUAAGCAGUGUGAGCGAUUGGGACACCAAGUAAAUGAAAUUGACGGGUCUUAACAACGAAAUCGAAGUCUGAAUAGGACAACAAAUCAAAGCCCGAUGUCAUGCUGCUGAAAUUCCACACCUCAGACACCCAGGACCCUCAUUGUUUGGGGAAAAGAAAGCAGCAACAAAAACAAAAGCAGCCAUUCUCUACUCCUAACGUCAUCUUUCCUGAGGCGGGCUGUUGUGUCCGCAUCAGAUUAUCACGCAUUCGGGAGAUAGAAUUGCUCUGAAGGUAAAGCCGUGUGAUGAUUCACAGGAACCUCGUGUCUCCGGUGGGGCCGAUUGUGAAUUAGAUAUGUAUCCACCCCCCUUUCACCUUGAAUAACGGAGCCUUCUAUUCCCCCACUUGCCUUUUAGGAACAGGGAAAAUAAAGAGUUCAUCUUCUCUCUCUCCUUCCAUUGUACCUUGGAGCGGUGUGUGUGUGUGUGUGUGUGUGUGUGUGUGUGUGUGUGUGUGCGCGCACUUCCCACAUGUAUGCAACUAUGCUCACCAGUGCUGUGAAAGCUAGGAACUGGCAUCUUUCUCAAUUGUUCUCCACCCGUUCUUUGAGAUAGGCUGUCUCAACAAACUUAGAGUUUUCCCUUUCAGGAAUCUAGACUGGCUAGUGAAUCUCAGAGAUGUGUCUGCACAAGCUCCCCACAGCGCCGAGGUUACAGGUUUGCACUGCCACACCCAGUCCAGCAUCUGAACUCAGCUCUUCCUCCUUGAGCUACAGAUACUUUAGUUACCGAGCUCUCUCCCCGGCCCCCACAAUGCUUGAGAUUUUAUUUUCACAAGCUCAUAGGUGGGAGAGUUGGAGUCCGUUCCCAGAGGAAACGGAGCCUGCACUUCUCAGAGCAGUGUUGUGAAUACAGCCUGCUUCCUCCUCUCUGUUUAUAGUGUGAUGGAGAAAGAAAAUGGGAAGGCUUACUCAACAAAAGGGAUGAGGCUCUUGAAUUUAUUUAUAUGCAUAUAUGUAUAUAUGUAUGUAUGUAUAGAUACAGAGCUCAUGUAUAUUUCAUAUUUCUCUAUCUCAUAUAUCCCAUUGAGAUUGCAAUCAUAGUAGAAGGAAUAGGCCUGCAGCACAGAACACUCUGGAGAAACUGAGGGCAACUGGUCACCCAUUUUCCAGGCCUCAAGUAGAUAGGAUGCCAGGACAUCAGUCACAGAGCUCAUCUGUGGGACUUGGGAACUAUCAAGGUUACAAGUGCCAGCAGCCCAGGCACAUACCUGCCUCCCAGCAGGGCCAUGGAAUUGGGUGGUGAGGUAAGACUUGUGGAGCAGAGUCUCCAGCAUGAUUUGCAAUGGUGUAGAAGGGGAGCUGCCUGGUUCUAGACUUUUAUCCAACGGGAGCACUGCUUAGUGUAGGAGGAGCCAAGAGAGCAAGGAUGAAGCAUGAGUGUGUGAAGUGUGAGUGUGUGAAGCGUGUGUGAAGCGUGAGUGUGUGAAGCGUGAGUGUGUGAAGCAUGAGUGUGUGAAGCGUGUGUGAAGUGUGAGUGUGUGAAGUGUGUGUGAAGUGUGAGUGUGUGAAGCAUGAGUGUGUGAAGUGUGAGUGUGUGAAGCGUGAGUGUGUGAAGUGUGUGUGAAGCGUGUGUGAAGCGUGAGUGUGAGAAGCGUGAGUGUGUGAAGCGUGAGUGUGUGAAGUAUGAGUGUGUGAAGCGUGAGUGUGUGAAGUGUGUGAAGCAUGAGUGUGUGAAGCGUGAGUGUGUGAAGCGUGAGUGUGAGAAGCGUGAGUGUGUGAAGUGUGAGUGUGUGAAGUGUGUGUGAAGCGUGAGUGUGUGAAGCGUGAGUGUGAGAAGCGUGAGUGUGUGAAGUGUGAGUGUGUGAAGCGUGAGUGUGUGAAGUGUGUGAAGCGUGAGUGUGUGAAGCGUGAGUGUGAGAAGCGUGAGUGUGUGAAGCGUGAGUGUGUGAAGUGUGAGUGUGUGAAGUGUGAGUGUGUGAAGUGUGUGAAGCAUGAGUGUGUGAAGCGUGAGUGUGUGAAGCGUGAGUGUGUGAAGUGUGUGAAGCAUGAGUGUGUGAAGCGUGAGUGUGUGAAGCGUGAGUGUGAGAAGCGUGAGUGUGUGAAGUGUGAGUGUGAGAAGCGUGAGUGUGUGAAGUGUGUGAAGCGUGAGUGUGUGAAGCGUGAGUGUGUGAAGCGUGAGUGUGUGAAGUGUGAGUGUGUGAAGCGUGAGUGUGUGAAGUGUGUGUGAAGCGUGAGUGUGUGAAGCGUGAGUGUGUGAAGUGUGUGUGAAGUGUGAGUGUGUGAAGUGUGAGUGUGUGAAGUGUGUGUGAAGCGUGAGUGUGUGAAGUGUGUGUGAAGCGUGAGUGUGUGAAGCGUGAGUGUGUGAAGCGUGAGUGUGUGAAGUGUGUGUGAAGCGUGAGUGUGUGAAGCGUGAGUGUGUGAAGUGUGAGUGUGAGAAGCAGCAGUGUGAGAAGCAGGAGUAUGUGAGACUUGAGCGUGUGAAGACACUCAGCAGCUAGUGCCAGCCACCUCCUGAGGAAUGGCUCGGGGCUACCAGAAUACAAGGCACCUCCAGUCUUGGAUCCUGGAUGAGCUUCUACAGCACUGCAGAUACUUGGGCCAUCUCCUCACUCUACCCUCUGACCAUCUGUCAAUCCAUCUGUCCAUCUGUCUCUCAUUCUCUCUCCUCCCUUCCUUUUUCUCUCUUCUCAUGCUCAGACAUACACAGUUCUGACUCAUGGACCUUGUUCUAACAGAGCACUGGGAGCAGAGGACUUUCCUUCUACUGCUACAUUUCCCCAGGAGCAGGGAUUGACCCUGGGCACAUCAUGCCUGGAGCCUCCUCACCUGCAUGGUAGACACAAACAGAGGAAACCAACGUGUGAGGGACAGAUGAUCAGAUGUGCGGUCUAAGCAGCUGUUUUUAUCCACUGGGAUUUCUUCCCAUGCUGAUUUAUUCAGAGUUCUAUUCGCCUGCCAGUGCCAUUUAUUUAUAGAUAACAUUUUUCUGCAGUGAUGGUUAAGGACCAGGAUAAGUGAUUAUGAAGUUGCGUUUUCUUCCUGGAAUAAUAGAAACGCAGUUCUUUGUCCUUUGUUGCAAUCCCAUGUUUCUCUGUAGUCAUUCUCAAUGAGCACCAUUCAUUAACAUAUACAUUUAAACUAAUAUAGACUCACGGGAGUGGCAGGAAGUACAACAAAUCAAGCAAUAUUAUCCUAUUUCAUAGAAGAAAAAAGCCACUUGGAGACAAGGCAGGCUUACCAACAGGUUUGGAGGAAGAAUGUUGGGUGGGGACAUUGAAUUCUUGUAUCACAUACUGGAUAUCACCAAAAUUUUCACUCUUGACUCUGGGUGACCCUGUGGCUGGUCUCACUCUCUGGAAACUUUAAGAGGGCUAAGUUGGAGUCUUCAUUGCUCAAAGCAUCUUCCUUAGGUGCUAAAGUACGGUGUUCUAGGGCCACUGUGUCAUACUGUACCACAGACUACAAGACUGCAAGCCCAUCUCUGCUCUGAAGAAUCCGGAGAGUUCAAAGAGGUCAAAUGUUUAAUUGAAAUGGAAUAUUCAAGCUAAAUUGCUCAUGCACUACUUCAAUAUUAUUGAAGUCCUAAUAAAUACAUUAAAAGACUGUUAGCGAAAGUGCUUCCUGCUGAAGAAUGGUCCCGUGAAGGGCAUCAUUAGCCCACUCUGUAAUAUACAGGGAAUGUUGUUUCAACCUAAUUAAACGCCGUGCAUUUUUGAUGGCACUUAACAAUAUGUGGUUAAUUACUAUAUGCAGGGUUUGUUCUAUAGCAUUAAUUAUGAUGAACUCAUUGGCUUUCAGAAGGAUGAGGGUACAGUGACUUGGGAGGUACCACACAUCCUGUGGUUUAUCCAGACGAAGAUUUAAGUGGAUCAACUCCAGAGCUAUGAGAAGUGAUUUUUUUUUUCAGACCCGAAUUGAAAAAAAAAUGUGAGUUAUGGAAAAAUCGCUGCAGGUUAGAUGUCUUUCUGGAAUUGGCCUAGGAAUUGUGGUUGUAUAAAUCACUGUGAGAAACACGAAGGCGAAACUGAUACGGGGGCUGGGUUGCUGGGUUGACGGAAGGAGUUUCUAAUCCUGAAAAUGAGAGCCCUCAUGGAUUGUUUUCUCUAUGUAUCUUCUGACCUCUUCUGCAGUGGCUAAGAUUUGGGCCAAUCAAUGAGGUCCUGGAGUCCAGCUCAAGUCAGGUCUUCGAGGAGUCAGAACACUUGUGUAUUCUGACUUGGAACACCCCAAGGUGAGUAGGUUCCUGGCACUAACAGGACAUGGAUAGAGGAGUGGAAUGGUAAGGUCACCCUAAAAUUAAUUUCAGUGGUGGUUGCAAAACUCAUACAUGGCUUAUGUGGUGCUGGGAUUGAGCCUAGGGUCUUCUGCAUUCUAGUAAAGCACAAUAUCAAUUGGAGUAUGUGGUAGCCUUCUGGCCUGUAGUAUUCCUAAAGGGCAAGAACUUAGGAUAGAAGAAGAGGUCUCUCAAAGUCAAAGCUCAAAUGCAUCAAGGUCACUGUCUGGAGGUUCUACCUCUGGCAGAGGCUGGUGUUGGAGCAGCAGCUGAUCCCAAACAGAACUGUAGCACUGGCUGGAGAGGAACCACAUAGACACCCCCUUGUAUCUCACAGCUCUUCUCUCCUUCUCCUAAGUCUUCUCCCGAAGCUUAGACAGAAAACUUAUCCAGUCCUGCUGGUGAAGUAUGAAGGUCAGGGAGGGCCAUAUAGCGAUUGCUAGGAAAAUGUGGCCAGGGUCAAGGGUCUGGGAGAGGCAGGGGGAGGCCAAGUCAAUGGUGUCUUAUGCAGGGGAGGUGACAGAGGUACCUAUCAUUGCCGAGUACAGAGGAGUAAGAUGAUUAAGGUGGCACAUGGGGAGACACCCUGUGUCUAGGGAGAUUUGCCCAAACAUUCAACUCCUCCAUCCUUACGUUGGCGGAAAUCAUAGUUUUCACGUUACAUAAUCUAUAUUAUUUGAAGAGUGAAUGAAGGGGAGCAGGGCAUGGGUAGGGCAGGAUGGAUUUUAUGCAGGUAUGUAUGUAAGCUGGCAGUUUUAAGAUCUCACGUUUAAUCCAUCUGAAUAGAUCUCCCUCUGUUCCUAGUUUCUUUGAUAGUUAUAUAAUCUUGACAGGCCUCUUAACCUCCGGCAGUUUGAGUUUUCAUCUUUAGGAAGGGGGCCUCCUGUUUUUGCCUCCCAUCUUGUUGAUAAAAAUGCUGGGAUUACAGGCACACACCUACCAUGUCUAGCCUUUAUGUCUGUUCUAGGGGUCUUAACUCUGGUCCUUGAGUUUGUGGAACAAGCUUUACCUACUGUGUAUAUUCCCAGUCCCCCUUCUCAGCAUUGUGGGGGAAAUGUAUCAAUUAAUGCCAUGGACAGGUGGUGGCCUAAGAUGUUAAGAUAAAGCUACAGGCACAUUGAGGUUUAGGGCUUCCACUUCAGGUCUGAGUGAGUCCUGUGGAGGCCCCCUCCAUGGGAGGGCACAUUAUAGCCAUUGCUCAGCCCUAUGUGAGAACACUGUAGACAUUGAACUUCAUGGCUUUUGUUGUGUGUUGGCAAAGGAGGCUUAAGGAAAACUCUGAUACACACAAAGUUUCCUACAUUUUACACUUUAAAUCCACAGGUGAUCUUUUACUAAAUGUAUAAUUUGGUCUCUCUCUCUUUCUUUCUUUCUUUCUUUCUUUCUUUCUUUCUUUCUUUCUUUCUUUCUUUCCUUCUUUCUUUCUUUCCUUCCUUCCUUCUUUCUUUCUUUCUUUCUUUCUUUCUUUCUCUCUCUCUCUCUCUCCCUCUCUCUCUUUCUUUCUUUCUUUCUUUCUUUCUUUCUUUCUUUCUUUCCUUCUUUCUUUCUUUCCUUCCUUCCUUCCUUCUUUCUUUCUUUCUUUCUUUUUCUUUCUUUCUUUCUUUCUCUCUCUCUCUCUCUCCCUCUCUCUCUUUCUUUCUUUCUUUCUUUCUUCCUUCCGUUUUGGCUGCAAAAUAGCAAUUCACAAUCUAGUAAUUCUUGGCGGAAUAAGAACUUGUCCACAUGCAGUAACACUGCAGCAGUCAGUAUGGGAUUUUCCCUUCUAAGCACAAAUUACUAUACUCCACACAGGUGCCAACAGUCCAUAAUUGUUAUAGCUCAUGUCUUCUCAGCAGAAGCACAGAAGUUCCAUGUAGAUGUGAAGACAUGUGGCUUCCUACCAAUGGUAACAGGGCAGGAGGUCCCAUGACAGCUGCUCCUUAUAUCUAGGGUAUGGGCUGAGAGAUACUUAAAUGGUCUUCAUGAACGGCAGGGUAUAUUGUGGAUAUACACCCUAGCUAAGUCUCCCUGAGCUCAAGGACAUCCCAUCCCAUGGCCACAUGUGCAUAACAUUAAUCUAUGUAUCACUUUCCCUUUACAAAAGUUUCUAACAACUGGAGGACCAUCGACAAGUUGUUUAUAACUGUCUCUGACCCCAUCCAUCGAGCAGGUUAUAUAUUAAAGUCAAAUCUUCCCAAGCUUCGUGUUUUCACAUAAGAAAUACAGGUAAGACUCUGAGAGACUGCCACACGGAAUGGAAUCUUUUAAGUAGGUAGUGUCUUUCAGCAGCACCUGUGAGGGAGGGUUUAUUGUAUACACCAUUUGGUUUCGAAAAGACCUCACAGACUCCACAGAAAAUCUAAGAAUCAAUAAACACUUUCAUCAAAGCAGUAGAAUACCCCCAAACAAAAACAGAACCAGAAAAUCAGUAACAUUUCUGUAUUCCAGUAUGAAUGUGCUAAGAAAGAAGGUGAGGGACCAUUUCAGUCCCAGUAAUGACAAAAAUACCCCAGAAUAAAUAUAACCAAGGGGGUGAAGGACAUCAUUGGUGAAAAUUAAUACUGAAGAAAGAAACUAAAGAAGCCACUAGAAGCUGAUGAGACUUCCCGUGCUCCUACAUGAGCUGAAUUAACACUGUGAUGUUGGCUGUAGGACCAAAAUCUACUGACAAUGUAAUCUUUAAAAGUCCAAAGGAGUUCUUCACAGAAAUAGGCAAAACAUCCUCGAACUCACAUGCAAGCACAAAAUCAGACUUGUAGAGCAGCUGAACGGAGCCGAGGACCCACAGAUGAUUCUAUGCAAACACACCACCUGAAGCUUGGCGAAGAUGAUCAAAUGUCCACUGGAGAAAAGACAGCCUCAUUGAAGUGUGAACCUCGUCCCAUGUUUUUAAUCACUAGUUUUCUUAAGGUUUCCAGACACCAGGUCAAAUAAGGAAAACUCGAAUCCAUGAGGUUUCCUGUAAGCCAAGAUCAGAGGUUGUGAAGCUGAAGGUAGGAAAGGGACACAUGGGAAAGGUUUGAGCACAGGCAGUCCUAAGGAAAACAUGCAUCAACUUGAAGUGACAGCUUGCCUGGCCAUGGCUGUGAUUAGCAAGUUUAGUAUACACAGAUUAGGAAAGAUGGUUAGAGCUUGGAGCAGAAGGAGCCUAGGGAACUUGGAGUGACAUAGUGCUGCAAUGAACACAGAAGAUGUUGUGGUAAAAAUUAAAAAAAAAUGGCGGAACUGAUUCCCAUGUGUACUCUGGCAGUCGCUCUCUCUUGCUAGUUUUGGCUCUAGUCGGCCAUUAGAACUAGUGCUAAUUUAUCUCAGUGACUUCCCCUGCCCCCAUCUGCUUUCUGACCCUCUAUCCUCGAGCCAUUCCAACAUGGCAUCCUGUCAGGCUGCCCUGCCCUCACUCACAGCUCUUUUGACUGGUUUCCACCACUCCAGGCGUACACAUCCCAAUUCCAUGCUGGGCCCAGUGCGUCUGGCCACCAUACACUCUCUUGACCUCAUUAAGUUGCCACAUGAAAGAACACAUCACAUAAUAUCCUGUGAUCCAAUUGAUAAGAUAUAGCUUGCCCAUCUAGACAACACAAAAUCCUAUACACAUCCUUCCCUUAAGAAUAGUUUUAACAAUCUGCAAAUGCGCAGAGAGGAAUCUUAGUAUCUGCCGCCAUGUUCUUUCGGCUGCCUCCUCCUCACUCCUGCCUCCUCUGCCCUCUAAAACUUUUCUCCUGCCCAUCUGUCCUUCUAGUCCAAUGACAGGCCUCGUUUUAUCCUGUACCCGCCUUCACCCGUAAAAUGACAUCAACCUACAAGAAGAUGCUUGGAUCAGAGUCACGCACACCAAAACACAUCUCUAGCAUUAGGGAAGACCUUUCCAAAGCAAGAGUGGCAUGGCUGUAACAGGAAACCAACCAGGGUGAAGGUGAGCUUAAACUUUAUAGGAAAGAAGGAACAGUUCCACAUGAACAUAAAGUUCAGAAUAAAAGGACUUGGGUCUAGCCAAGAGCAUGCUGAUCACACCUCACGACCAAUACUGUCUGGGAGCUGGUACCAAGCCCUGGGAAUGCCUAUAAAGAGGCUCUGACGAGCUGUGCACCUAUGGUCUCUGACUAUGAAGUUGGAGGACCCUGCUUUGAGUCAGGGUUCUGGUAAGGCCUCACAUGGGCUACAGACAUACCAGGUGACUUGCGCUCUUGGCUUCUGUUGGUACAGGUAGACUUAGUAUUGACACACCACUUUUCAAGACUUCAUGAAAUAAGAGAUGCACACUCUGUUUAGGACAGAUUUAACUUUUAAGUGAUAACACACUUCCCUACUAGGCAAGCAGUUGGUAGUUCCAUGGGGAGCAAAGGAAGGACCCUUCCUCUUCCACACACUACCCUCAGGCUUCUAAAUACAAGAGCCCGAGCACAGAAGACAGGCUGAGGACCUGGCCCUCUACAGCUCCAGGACUGUGUACUUUUAUGUUAACAAAGUUUCACUUAGAAGCAGGUAGGCAGUGCACUGGCAGGCUUGGGGACAGUCUUCUCUGGGAUGCUGGAGCUUCAGAGGUCUUGUGGGACUCUGGCCAUGUUAACAAGGAGACUAUGUUCUGAUGUAGUCAUCCAGGAGGACCUGACUACCCAUUUUUGCUUUGUCCUAGAGAUGUUUCUAACUCAGUGUCUGGACCCAAGAACUUCUGUGAAGUCCCUUUUAUGCCAGGGCCCUCCUAUGUCCUCUCCUUCAAACAAACCCAUGGCUCUGUACUUUGACCUUCCACAUCCUAACCCAAGCUCCUCAAAACCACUCUGGUCUCUGCCCUCUCCCUUUUCACCUACCACACUGUUUUCCUCAGUAUUUAAAACCAAGACCUUGAGCCCAUGAGUUUUUUCAGAAACCAAACAAAAUACAAACUCUGUUUGGGUGCAGGUGAGCUGGCUGGCUGUGUUUGCUGUGUCCAGGCAGAUAGCCCAAGGUUUUCCCCCAGGGAGUGGAAACCCUGGUAACUUGUAGCUUGUGCCCAACCCCAGACACUUGACAGCCUUGGGAAUCAUGAAGCAGACCUAUGAACACCAUAUCCCAUUCUCAUUAUACUGCUUACCACAAGGUACCCACCCAAUGUUUGGGUAUCAUGAUGGCCUGAUACCGCUGUUGUUUCCUAUGGGAGAACAAUGAUAAAAGAGCUUUGCCUAGGCCAAAGGAGUUUUGUUUUGUUACUAAAGAUAAUUAAGAAGAGGACAUACAACUAUAUGCAUGUAUAUACAUACAUACAUACACACAAUAUAUAUACUCAUAUACUUGUAUGUAUAGUAUUUGAUAUCAAGUACGAAAUGUUGUUGAAGAUACUAUAUAUUUCAGACACAGAACUUUGAGAAUUAGAGAUGAAUCUAACCUGAAAAUAUACCCCCCAAGAAGAAUAAUUUUUAUAGUACCAUAAGGUACUAUCUAAGCUUCCAAAGGAAGGAAGCAACAGAGAGUCCUAUAAUAUCUGUGAACAACAUGACUAGCCUACCAAGAUAUCCUUAAACCUACAACUCUGAGAUCCGUAUCUUCUCAGUAACCAAUGGAUGUCUGAUUGGACUUAAGACCCGUUCACCAGGAGGCAAUCAUGACUGAUCCUGGAAACCUAUCCAACUCUCCAAGACUGGUGAGGUCAUAGAUUUUAGAGGGAAACCUACCACUACCACUGCAAGCCAGCAUAAUUCCUAACUAAAUUCUAAAUAUGUACUUUUGAUACCCACAUAUGCCUUCAUCUCUCACCCCUCAUCAAAGAAGCUUUUCUUUGCAUCAGUUAGAGAUCAAAACAGAAAAUGACACCUGGUCAAAACCCAGAGAACAACUGUUCAUGCGACUCCAAGACCCAGUGGGUAGAUCUACAGCACAGAUCCUUCAAUCAAGCCUCAAGGAGCAUGUCAGGAAAGAAGGUAGAUUGUAAGAGACAGAAGACCAAAGCCUGCUAUGUGAUAGUUCCUCCUGGAAAUGAUGGUGGGUGAAGCUAUACUGUAUGGUUCCUCAACAAUAUGGCUGCCUCAGCAAGACAUGGACGGUGACAAUAACAAGACAUAGUCUCCUGCCCAGGGAUAUUUCAUGGGUCCCACUCUAGACAAAGAACUACAGACAAUUAAGGACUGCAGAGGGGGAAUUCGUUAUCAUCAGGGAUAAUCCCCCUACUUGGCUAUCUGAUUUCAAAUGUUCAUUCCUGAAGUCAUGCAUAUACAAGCAACAUAAACACACCAGGCUACAUUUAUAUAGGCAUGCAUUUAUACACAUGGGACCAGUUAAAAGAAAAGGAGCCGUACAUUCAAGGGGUUAUAGGGGAGCACAAGGAAGGGAUUGGGUGGG
Non-coding RNA from Rattus norvegicus (Norway rat), 13021 nucleotides. The record is from RefSeq and is a predicted model, not a curated record. NCBI's taxonomy places the organism in Eukaryota, Metazoa, Chordata, Mammalia, Rodentia, Muridae.